UACCUGCGGACGGGAGACGGUCGCGGAC
This 28-nucleotide small RNA is filed under the name Bombyx mori (domestic silkworm). RNAcentral describes it as "ovarian small RNA-20887". Lineage: Eukaryota; Metazoa; Arthropoda; Insecta; Lepidoptera; Bombycidae. The record is from RNAcentral.